UCAUUUCAUAAAUUCAUAAUAUUAAAAGCAAGUGAAACCCGAAACUACUUCACUUCGACAACAUAAUUUACAUACGGAUUUCCCUUUCGGGAGACCCCGAAGGGAUUACAAAGAGAAAAAGAGGACUACCUUCUGCCUACCUCCACCAUUGGAUGAUACAAUGCCUCAAAGGUUUAUUACAAACUGGAGAUGGCUACUACUACUACUACUACUACUACUACUGAGGAGAGUGAGGGAAGUGGUGCUCUGGUGCUUGCGAUGCUCUGUAGACUGGUGUUGUGUAGACUGUUGUUGUGUGUGUGUGUGUCUGUCCGCGCACAGUCCUCCUCCUUUUAUAGUGCGCGAGGGAUGCUGGAUGCUCCCCUCUUUUAUUCUUCUGCGUCAUAGCUGGAGGCUGGGGUAUCUCGUAGCUUGACACGCCUUAUGCACCGCUGAAGUGCCUCAGUGUUUGCGACAUCAAGCCUUGCGUGAAUCUGAUGCUAGACUGAUAUUUUUGUCUAGACUAAGAACUUUGUCCAGACUAAGAAUUUUGCCCAGACUGGAAUAUUUGUCUUCACCGCGAAUUUUGUCUUGACUGGAACUUUUGUCUUGACUGGAAUCUUUGUCUUGACAGAUGAUUUUGUCCAGACUGAAGCUCUUGUCUUCAUUGCAACUCUUGCCAUGAUUUAUACUUCCACGCCUUGCAGGCACCCUGAUAUGGGUCAUCCAUGCAUGGCUGAAUAUUGUCUUCAUGCAACUUGGAUGAAGGGUCUUGUCUUGAAUGAGGAGUUUUAGCUUAACUCCUUGAUCUUUCCCGAUACGGAUGUUGCAUGGCUGCUUGUUGCAUAAUUAUUCUUGCUACCAUUAUUAUUAUUAUUAUUAUUAUUAUUAUUAUUAUUAUUAUUAUUAUUAUUAUUAUUAUUUAUUUUUAUUAUUUAUUUUUAUUUUUUUGGUAUGGGUAUGGGUCUACCCCGCCCAUAUUAUUGAUAAUACCUUAUCAAUAUUUCGAAUUCUAUCAAUAUUCGGGUAUAGGUCCUCCGCGCCCAAAUAAUUGAUAUUCAUAUCAAUUUAUAUUUGAGUAUAUUUGUCGGUGUACUAGAGUAGGGGUACCCUAGUAUCCCGAACUUGUGCACGGGCAGUUGCAGCGCCCCGCGGCAAGGCUUGCCGGACGACCGCCAGGGUCCUCCGUGGGUUCCUUUGGAGCCAUUCAAGAACAAAGUAUUUAAGAUGAAGAGACAAGACCCCGGCAAGAGGAGCUUGCCGGGAAGAGACAAGGCCCCGGCAAGAGGAGCUUGCCGGGAAGAGACAAGGCCCCGGCAAGAGGAGCUUGCCGGGAAGGCCAACCACGGCACUUCAAGAAACUUGCCGCGAUGCACCGCGCGUCCCGGCUAGGUCCGCCGAGCGACAAGCUUUCGGACGCGACAAGACGACGACCCCGACAAGGUACUUGCCGGGGGCCCGCUGCCACUCUGUACCCGCGCUCCAGCGCACCCACCCGCGUGUCGCCAUGAGGUUUUCUCAGGGGCGCGUGGCGGGAGCCUGUGCAGCCAGGGGUACGCGGUGGCAAGCGGAGAUGAAGAGAAGGCCAUCGUGGCAAACGGUGGCGCUCCUAACGGUCACUUUUUGCACUGUUUAGGCAACUCAGACGUGCAUUCAAUGACCUUGUCCCCUGCCGUCAGAGUUAGGUAGGGUGCACUGUGUCCACAGUAGCGGUAGCUGCACCUACCGCAUCCUUUUCCAUUUUUACCCUUCUAGUCUACGUUGCCACCUGUCGGUGACCCCUUGAGAGUAUAAAAGGAGGCCCAGGCGCAACGUAGAAGGGGUUCGGUCCAGGUUCGGCUCAUUCGAAGCACCAAGAACAUUCCCACGCUCAGUCUGGUAGCAUCCAUCGCUCCUGAGCAAGAACUCAAUACACAAACAAGCAGCAGUAGGGUUUUACGCAUCCGUGCGGCCCGAAGCUGGGUAAACUGCUCGCGUGUACUGCCUCGAUCCGCUCUUUGCACGACCUCCGCCCCCCUCCGAACCGAAAGGGGCCUGGUCCCCAUAGUUGUCCGUGGAUCAGUUUCCCCGACAUCUUUGGCGCGCCAGGUAGGGGGCGUCGAGAUUGUGUGAACCCGAUCCGGCGUGCACGCGAGCUAAAUCUUCAUCAUCUUCAUCGACAUGCCACCGAAGAAGAAGGAUUCGGAGGCAGUUGUUCCGUUUGCAUCGCUUUCACCGCCUCGGAGCAAACGGGUGGUGGAGUGGACGCCGGCAGAAGAACGGGCGUCGACGAGGGAGCUCUCAGUGCGGCCAAGUCCAAGGACAAGGCGGCACAGACCUCGGCAUCCAUGCGCGCACCGCGCCCGUCUCAGGAGGCGCGAGACCAGCAGCGUCAUGCCGUUCGCAGCGCCGUACGUCCGCUGGGCCAAGAUCAAGCUGGUGGUUCUCGUGGCGUCCAAGACCAGCACGCGCGUCAGCAUGCUGGAUCGAGCGAAGUACGGUCGCCUGGACGGGACACUGCUCCUUCUAAUGUGGUUAGGAGUCCGAGCAUGUCCCGCUCCUCGCACCAUUCACCUCUGCCGCCCACCACUCCAGCAGAAGCCUUGGCGCGAGCUCAAUUGCUCCUAGACUACCCUCCGACGGCGGACAAGACCGACGAGUGGAGGGCCACUAUCCAGAGCCUCAUCGGCUUCGCCAACGGCGACACUGCGCGGCAACCAAGCACCUCGUUGCUGCGACAAGGCUGCCGAACGCGAGCCGAUGGUAACAAGACCAGAAGUUUCGACAGGCUGCACAAGUGCUGAAGACACUGGAUCGAGGAGCUGCCGGUGGUUCUUUGGUCGAUCAGGACGACGCCAAAUCGAGCCACUGGCCAGACACCCUUCGCUCUAGUCUACAGAGCAGAGGGAGUUCUCCCCACGGAACUCGUUUAUGGGUCACCUCGAGUGCUCGCUUAUGAUGAGCUCGAGCAAGAGCAGCUGCGGCAAGAUGACGCGCUACUCCUUGAGGAAGACCGUCUUCAGGCUGCUGUGCGAGCCGCUCGCUACCAGCAAGCUUUGCGUCGCUACCAUAGCCGCAAAGUUGAAGCCAGAAGCUUCGAGGAAGGCGACCUUGUUCUUCGGCGUGUUCAGUCCGCCAAGAGUUCCAACAAGUUGACGCCGAAGUGGGAAGGCCCUUAUCGGGUGAAAUGAGUCACUAGGCCCGGCGCUGUCCACCUUGAGACCGAAGAUGGCAUUCCGGUGAGCAACUCCUGGAACAUUGAACAUCUUCGUAAGUUUUACCGUAGGGCGCGGUUGCCGGAAGCUUUUCCGGCAACCACCUUCUGUACAAGUCUUGCCGCUGUUGCAUGUAAUCCUUUGUACAGAGCCGGGCACAGACCCCGUGCACCAGUAAAGUCCAUGUGCCCUGCACAUCUUGUCAGUUUUUAUGCUCUAAUCCUUUUUGCAUAUGUUAUCUGACACUUUGUGCAGCACCAGACCCCGGUAAGCUGGGUUAUUUUCCUUGAAUGACCGUGCUUUGUAUGGGAAACCUGUGCGCGGAGGAACCGACUCGUAGCUAGUUGCGCCCUUACUUUGUUUCGAGUCCGCUCAACAACUUAAGUGAGCUGCAACUAGCUGCGACAAGGUUGCUUGUCGGUAGUGACCCCGCCAGCAGGCUGCUGAAGUUCCGCACUCGGCGCUCGCGGCAAGGGUGCCUGCUCCGACAAGUUUCCCUGAAAAGCGUAGGGCAAAGCCAUACAAAGCCAAGAGUCGAGUAAAGGAAAUAACACUGCAAUAACGAGCCGUAAGGCUCCAUACCAUUACUUUAUUUCUCUGUCUCUUUCUCAAAAGAAGGAAGGUUCCCUCGCCUACAAGGUUUGCCGGGGGGGAAGGAGAAGAUAAUGGUGUGGACCAGGCCGUUCAAGAAAGUUUCUCCUUGCCGGGAAGCAGACGACAGAAAAGCUAAGUUGCUAAAGCUUGAGCAAUCAGUUCUUUAAAGUUUUUGGGUUAUUUUCCUUGAACGACUGUGCUUUGUAUGGAAAACCUGUGCACGGAGGAACCGACUCGUAGCUAGUUGCGCCCUUACUUUGUUUCGAGUCCGCUUAACAACUUAAGUGAGCUGCAACUAGUUGCGACAAGGUUGCUUGUCGGUAGCGACCCCGCCAUCAGGCUGCUGAAGUUCCGCACUCGGCACUCGCGGCAAGGGUGCCUGCACUGGCAAGUUUCCCUAGAAAGCGUAGGGCAGAACCAUACAAAGCCAAGAGUCGAGUAAAGGAAGUAACACAGCAUUUUUUUUGCCUAAGAUAGAGUUAUAUUACAAAAAUAACUUGUCGCACCUCUAAUAAAGUGUUCCCAUGACAUGACUGGCAGCGACAAGAAAAGAAGAAAACUGACGGCCUAAUCUACGCGACCGCCGUCAACCCUUUUGACCUCGUUCACCCUGUCCAUAAUGGGUGCGACGAGGGCCUUAAGUGCGUCAAGAUCAGCGUCCGCCGGCAGCCUCUUGAGGACGUUGGUGAGGUUGAGGCUCGGGUUGCGGAAGGCCACCUUCACCAGCACCUUCUCCAGAACUCCGGCGCAAAUCGAACGCGACUCGUCAGCCAGCUGCUUUGGGAUCUGUUCCCGGAGUUGUUGAAGUGUCGUCGCCACGCCUUUGAAGAACAGAGUGAGCUUGGCGCUGGGGUGGAGGUUCUCGUCGGAGGAGUACCCGAAGCCUUCCACCCCCAAUUGCACCAACUCCUCUUCGAUGACUGCAGCAAUGUUCAUGAGGCCCUCCGUCCAGAGCGCCACAGUAUCUCUGAGAAGAUUCUAGGUUGCGGCGGCCCUCGCUAGCAGCGCCUCGUUGGCCUUGAUGUCCUUCUUCAAGUCCGCCUCCCGUUUCUUGGCGCCGUCCAACAUCUCCGUCAAGGUGGCCAGCUUCAGCUCCAGAUCAGCGUUGGAAUCCCUGGCGGCGCGCAGCUCUUUGCCCUUCUCGGAGAGUUGGCCCUGCAGCUCACCGUGGGCAAGGGCGUCCUUCUCGCGCUCCCGCUUGAGCGCGGCAAGCUCUUCGCCACCCACCUUCAGAUCAACCUCCAACUGUGCCACCUUCCCCUCCAGCUCUUUCUUGGCGGCCUCUGCAAUUGCCGCAGCAUCCUUUGCCUCCUUGAGUGCCCCGCCAAGUGCUCGCUCGCGCUCGGCGAGCUCUUCCUCGUAGCUGUCGAGAUUGGCCUUCCGCUGCACGUGUUCACCUUCCCGCGUGGACUGCUUCUCGGCGGCCAGCCUUUGCUCCUCCUCAGCUUCGGCCUUCUCGAGAAGGAAGGUUGUGCGCACCUCGUCGAGCCGCUCCUGCUCCUGCGCCAGGGACCGGAGAGCUUCUUGAUUAUGGCCCCGGAGCUCCUCCGCGCGCUUCUCCAUGUCAACCCCCGCCUUCGCGACAAGCGCUUCCCGAUAAGCCAGCUUGGCUUCCCGGGCAUGGUAGAGUGACAGCAGCCUCCGCAGCAGCCGCUCCUCCUCGGGCUCGUCACUGCUAAUUCCCGGCGCGUCAACGAUCGACAACCCGGCGGAGGCGAGCACCUCCCCAUCCAAAACUUCUCCUUCCACCGGCGCCCUGGAGCUUGACGCCCAAGGGAGCUUGAUGAAGAUGCCCUCGCCAGCCUUCAGAUAGGCGCCGGGCUGGGGCUCCUCGGAGCCUGACGCUGCGGCAGCGGCGGAGGGAUCAGCGGUCGGUGCAGCGCCUGACGCUCCUGCGGCCUCAGGGCCGUCAGUGCGACCGCUAGAUCCCCCGCCAGCUUCCUCGGUGGCAGCCUUGGCGGCUUCUCCAUCGGCAGGCACAUCGGCACUAGCUCCGUCUUCGGCGGCCGCGGCAUCAUCAGUGUUGCCACGCGCGUCCUCCCCGCCGCCCGCCUCGGUCUCCAUCGGAUCCGCGGAGGGUGGAUCUGACGACCGGAGAAGAAUGAGAAGUCAAACAAGCACUCAAGAAGAAAAAUCAGCAGAAGAAUACGAGGAAAGUUUCGGGCAGGAAGGACUACCUGUGCUGUGAUCCGCUGUCAUGAGCUCCACCACCGGCGGAUCGUUAGCGCUGUCCCUUGCCGGAGACUCCUCCCUUGCUGGAGGCUCCUCCCUUACCGGAGAACGCUCCCUUGCCGGGGAGUCCGCCCUUGACGGCGUAGUCGAAGCAGACGACGAGUCGGAGGUGAUCACCACGCCCUCCUGAUGAAGAUGUUCUGCUCCUGCACAAACAAACCAGUGAUCAGAUGUCAACAAAGGAAAAGAGCAACCACGCGCACCCAGAAGCAGAAAGUAAACCAUAUGCUCACGUUGGGGGCUGCGCCGGGGGCUGCUCUGCAAAGUGACGGCCGGAUCCGGCAAGGUGGUCUCGGGCGCGCCUCCUACCGUCGCAGUGGGCUCGUCCUCGAUGAUCACCACCUGAGCCUUGGCCCUCUUCACUGCCCUCUGGGCCAGAGUCCUGAAAAGGGAGAGUCCUGGGUGGGUCAGAUCAGAUGCAAGACAAGAAUAGCAAGUUGAAGAACUACAAGAGCAACAAGGGAAUCUUACUCUUCUUCCUCUUCCUCGUCGGAGCUGAGCGCGGAGAGAUAUGCGGCGUGACCCAGGCUCCGCACGUGCCCGUGCCCUGUUUUGGGCCUGGCCCAACAGUGCUCGGCACCGUGUGUGGCCCAGGCCCGGGGGCUCCUGUCGGUGUACUAGAGUAGGGGUACCCUAGUAUCCCGAACUUGUGCACGGGCAGUUGCAGCGCCCCGCGGCAAGGCUUGCCGGACGACCGCCAGGGUCCUCCGUGGGUUCCUUUGGAGCCAUUCAAGAACAAAGUAUUUAAGAUGAAGAGACAAGACCCCGGCAAGAGGAGCUUGCCGGGAAGAGACAAGGCCCCGGCAAGAGGAGCUUGCCGGUAAGAGACAAGGCCCCGGCAAGAGGAGCUUGCCGGGAAGGCCAACCACGGCACUUCAAGAAACUUGCCGCGAUGCACCGCGCGUCCCGGCAAGGUCCAGCGAGCGACAAGCUUUCGGACGCGACAAGACGACGACCCCGACAAGGUACUUGCCGGGGGCCCGCUGCCACUCUGUACCCGCGCUCCAGCGCACCCACCCGCGUGUCGCCAUGAGGGUUUCUCAGGGGCGCGUGGCGGGAGCCUGUGCAGCCAGGGGUACGCGGUGGCAAGCGGAGAUGAAGAGAAGGCCAUCGUGGCAAAUGGUGGCGCUCCUAACGGUCACUUUUUGCACUGUUUAGGCAACUCAGAUGUGCAUUCAAUGACCUUGUCCCCUGCCGUCAGAGUUAGGUAGGGUGCACUAUGUCCACAGUAGCGGUAGCUGCACCUACCGCAUCCUUUUCCAUUUUUACCCUUCUAGUCUACGUUGCCACCUGUCGGUGACCCCUUGAGAGUAUAAAAGGAGGCCCAGGCGCAACGUAGAAGGGGUUCAGUCCAGGUUCGGCUCAUUCGAAGCACCAAGAACAUUCCCAAGCUCAGUCUAGUAGCGUCCAUCGCUCCUGAGCAAGAACUCAAUACACAAACAAGCAGCAGUACGGUUUUACGCAUCCGUGCGGCCCGAAGCUGGGUAAACUGCUCGCGUGUACUGCCUCGAUCCGCUCUUUGCGCGACCUCCGCCCCUCUCCGAACCGAAAGGGGCCCGGUCCCCAUAGGUGUCCGUGGAUCAGUUUCCCUGACAAUAUUUGAUUAUUACUUUCCUUCUUUUAUUCAAUUGGUUGCCCGUGCCCGGCAAUAUCCGUAUGAUCUACCUCAGAAAUAGUGAAAUCGUAUUUUUGAUCAUAUUCUUUCUUUAGCUCUUCAAAAAAUUUGUACAUUUCUGAUCAUAAUUCUUUUAAAAUUUCUUCCUUCAAUUCUGCCUUCAUUGUCUUUGCAACUUCUUUAUAUUUUUCAUCUAUCUUCAAUUCUAUGUAUUCUCCGUCCAAAGGAUCAACUCCUUUGAUAAGGCAUUCUUUGCAUGUCUCAUAUUUGGGGGAUUCUUCUUCUUUAGCCUUCCGGGAGCUUGAUGCUUUUCCCUUUGUAUAGUUAGGAAGUGAUAGAGUGGUUAUAUUGCUACUUAUGCCUCUUCAUCUUUCGAUAUAUUCUUUGGCUUUUGGGUCUAUAUAAUAAUCUUGCCCAAUUAGGUCGCUUGCCCAUUUUAGGGCAUCAUUGUAAUCAUCAUAUUUUUUCCAUGUUAAGUCUUCUUUCUUCCAUCUUGCCUCAAAUUUCUCUUUUAUAAUAUCUUCAUAGCUCAUAUAUAUUCCUGGCUUAUUUCCAUCAAAUAUUAUAUAUAGAGUAUUUUCUUUUUGCAUCUCCUUUGGUGGCGCUUUGGGGUUGCCUUGAUUUAAUUCAUUAAAGUAUUCAACUAGGCUAUUAAGGAUUGCUAGCAUGUAACCUUGGUCUUCUGUUUUAUUGGUGUAUUGAAACCAGAAAUUGUCCAGUAUGCACCUCUGGGUGUCUUUAAUUUUGAUAUGACUUUUAGGCUUGAAGUUGAAAGUAACUGGUGCAAAUAAUUUGAGCUUAUUCAUUUCUCCAAAUAUGUAUGCUUCAUGUCCUCCAGGAAGUGAUCCUUUCUUCAUUGCUGUAAAAUUGAGGAGCGAGAUAAUAUGUCAGGCAAACUAUUAUCUUUACCUUUGAUAUGUUCAAAUAUUACUUUAUAUCCAUUCCUUGCUAUAGUAUCUUCGAAUAAUACCCAUCUUCUAGUUGAACUUUUCUUGCUAUUAAUCUGAUUAUAAUAUCUACAUAUUGCUUCACUGUCUGUUCGUACUGUAAAUUCCUUAAAUCCUAAAUAUAAUCUAAAAGCAUUAAUUGCGUGAACUACCGCAAGAAUUUCUCUAUCAAUAUUAUUUAAUGUCUUUAAUUUGUAACUUCCUGAAGCAUAUCUACAUAUUUUCUCCUUAGUUUUGGGAGAAUAUUUGUUGGGUUUUUGCUUUAAUAUAGCUCCCCAACCUACUUUAGAGGCAUCGGUUUCAAUUAUAAAGUAAUAGUCUUCUAAUGGUAAUUCUAAAGGUUUCAAAUUCUUGACCUUGUCUUUAAUGGUCCUUACUAGUUUUAUAUCUUCUGAGUUAAAAUAUCUUUGACCAUUCUUUCUUAAUUUAGCAUAUAAAGGUCCAGCAAGUUUUGCUAGGUUAUCUAUAUAAUUCCUUGCAUAAUUUACAAUUCCUAAGAAUUGUUGCAAUAUAUUUUUAUCAUUCAUGUUAUCAGGGAACUGCAAAAUUAUCUUUGCAAUAUGUUCUUGUAAAUAUAUUUUUCCUUCUCCUAUUUCAUGACCAAGGAAAUUUAUUUUCUCUCUACAAAUUACCAUUUUCUUUUUAGAUAGUAUGAGUCCAUUUUGUUCUACCUUUCUAAAGAAGACUUCAAGAUGAGCUAUAUGCUCUUUAUAUAAUUUUGAGAAGACCAGCAAAUCAUCUACGUAUACCAAUAUGAAUGAUUGAUUCUCAUUGAAUAUGUUUUGCAUUUUUCUUUGAAAUAACGCAGGUGCAUUCUUUAGACCCAAUGGCAUUACUAGCCAUUCAUAAUGGCCUAGUGGACAAGUGUAAGCUGUCCAAGGAAUAGAUUCCUCUACCGUCUUUACUUGCCAGAAUCCUCCUUUUAAGUCAAACUUUGAAAAAUAUUUGCUCCCUUGGAUUCUAAUGAUCCAUUCUUGUUUAUUAGGUAUAUUGUAGGCAUCAUCUACCGUAUUAUCAUUAAGACUUUUAAAACUAAUUACCAUCCUAGACUUACCCGUAGCUUCUUUAGCAUGAUUUCUAACUAUAAAUGCAGCUGAACGGUGAGGACUUUUGCUCUCUCUGAUUGCUCUUAAUUUUAACAAUCUUCAAUAUGCAUCUUAACUUCCUCUAUAUCUUUUGGUGUAGCCUCUAUUGGGCCUGAUUUGAUUAUAUAAUCUGGGUUUAUGAUGUUUAUCUUACAAAUUAUGGAGUUCUUGUCCCAAUGUUUCAUUGGUAUUUCUCCUAUAAUUUGUAUAUGUUCUAACCUUUGCACAAUCUUGUCUAUAUCCUUUUUGGACUUUAUAUCUCUAUACCAAUUUGGUGCAAAUGAUUGUAGUCCUAUGCAAUCUAUGGAAGUAUUUUCUAUAUGAUAUUCUUCUAUAGCUUCACUAGAUCUUCUUCAUUGCAGGUUUUAGGGGAUUCUGCUGUGUCUCAUAUUCAACUUUCGAGUUGGAUAUUUCAGCUAGUUGUACAGCCUUUCUUUGUUUUCGUACUUCAGAUAUGUAUGGGACAUUAUCUUGAUAAGGGACAAAUGUAACACCUUCUUCAUGUAUAAUAGUGGUUUGGAGAGAAUGUUGUAAAAAUCUUAAUCCUAAUAUCAUGUCAUCAUUUAUUACUGAUAAAUCUCUAAUUGUAAUUUCGUCUAUUAUAUAUUUUGUACCGUUAAUAUAUGUUUCUAUGUUAUAUGCUAACUGCUUAUGGAUUUUCUUUAUACCCGACAUAUCUGUAGAUACCUCAGCUUUAUUAUCAUCUAUAGUUUUUACUAUUUCAGGACACUUAACGAAAUACUUGUCAUGAAUGAUAUUUUUUGUGCACCCUGUAUCUAAUAAUGCUAAAAUCUUAUAGGAAAUAUUUGGUUUUAAUACUAUUCUAACCGAAAUCCUUAUUCCUAGAACUUCUUUGAAUGGCAAUCUCACUAUAUAUUUAUUUCCUUAGUUGGUUAUGGCAUCUCUUAAUUGAAUUAAUCUAUCUCCAUUUUUAUCUCUUACUGUUAUCAUUUGCUCUUUCAUUUCAGUGCCUUCAACUACAAUGUUCUCUUCCUCUGUAUUUGAUUUAUUUUCUAAGUUAGAUUUUAGAUCUUCUAGUUCUGCCUCUAACUUAUUUAGUCUAUUUUCUAGAUUUCGAAAUCUGCUAGAUAAUAUUCUAUCUUCAUGUUCAUAUUCUAUUUCUUGUCUCCACCUUUGAUUCGUAGAUUUUAGGCAUGAGUUACAAGCUUUUCUUAAGCAUAAACUACAUGUAUACUUAUUCUCUUGGCUGGGGUAAUAUAUGCAAAAGGCACAUUUUAUAUUAUAAUCACCUUUUCCCCUAAUCCAAUCAUGUUCACAAUCUACCUGGUUCAUCAUCUCUACUUUUAAUCCUGAUAGAUCAUCUAUUAAAUCUAUUUCAUCUUCACUAGCUUCUUCUUCUAGCUCUUCAUUUUCUAUUUCAUCUAUUUCUAUAAUAGAGUAUAUUGACUCGUCAUCUUUUAUUUCAUCAUCACAAAGUAAUAUAUUCUCAUUAACACUAUCUAUAAUUAAUACUCUCUCUUGCUCUUCAUAUUUACUAGAGUACCUUUUCUGAUCUUUACUAGGGCAAGUUUUACUUAAAUGAUCAGGAGAAUUGCAUAUGAAACAUCUACAUGUUUUAUCAUAUAAUUUUCUAGGAUUAUAUCUUCUAACGUUUCUUUUAUGCAAGAAUGGGGCUCUAUUAUCCGAUCUUCAUAAGAAAUAUCUUUUCUUUGUUCUAAAAUUUCUAUUAUCUCUUUGUGGUUUAUAAUAUUUCUUACUCUUGUGUCUUUCUUCGCCAUAUGUUAGUGGUAUUUGGACGAUUUUAUUGCAGAAAUUAUAAUCAGAUUUCUUCAUAGACCUCUGGGCCUGUAUACUUGUACAUACCUUUCUAAGAUGUUUAAACACGAAAGUUAUAGCUUGAGAUAUACUUAUGUCUAUGCCCGCAGUAUCUUUCUUAUAUUCUUCAAAUAUUAUUGAUCCUAAUGGAUCUAGUAACUUAUUAAAAUACCUUUCAACCACACCUUUAUUGUAGCAUUGCUUAGCUGUGGUAGCAUUGUAUAAAUAAUGUUGAGAAAAUUCCUUUAUACCUUUCCAACUAGUUAAAGUUAAUUUUUCUAUCUCUCUCAACCUUUCAUUUUGCAAUGUGGUAUGACCCAAUUCUGGAUCUUCUGCUAUGACCAUAUUUGAUAUGACAUUGGAAAAGUUAUUAGGAUUACUCCCAGCACUUUUUAGUUCUUCGUAUUGGUCUGGAUAUGUCUCUACCCAUUGUUCCCAUAAUAUUUUUACUGAUUCUCCCAAAAAUGUUUCAAGAUAUGUUAUCAUAUCUUCCACCUUAUUCCCUAUAUUAUAUUGAUUUUGUAUAUAUUUUUGGACUAUUAAUCCUUUCCACACACUAAUUAUAUUCGGCAAUCUACAGGGUCAUGGGCUGCUAAAUUCAGAAUUGCACCAUCAUUCCUAGAGUUUUGGAACUGCACUACUUUUUCAAAACCUCUUCUUUUAGAACCCAUAAAUGUAUAUUGUCCAGGGAUAUAUGUAGGUUGAUAAUCAUCUUUUUCAGGAGGCCAUUUUCCAGCUGAUCGAGUAGGUCUCUCUCUUUCUCCUUCUCUUUUUACAGAAGACUCGCCAUAUCCUCUUCUUAUUUUAUGACCACCUAAAUCUACUUCCAUGGCUUCCAUCGCAUUUUCUAAAUUAUGCAGACUUUCGUCAUCUAACGAGUUUAUAAAAUCAGCAUUUUGCUCAGAAUCAAUAUAAUUUUUAUCUUCAUAUUCAUCCCAUGGUUCUUCUACUUCUUCAUAACUUUCUAAUAAUAGCUUAUUAUUGAUAUCCCAUUGAUCUUCUUCACUUAUGGCUUUCUCCUUAUGACUUUCGGCUUUAUUCUUAAUAUCGGUAUUUUCUUUGCGUUUAAUAUUAUUCUUUGGCACCACUGGGUUACUAAUGACUGUUUUUUUAUCCUUUAUUAAUCUUUUUAUUCUCGAAAUUUCUCUAAUAAAGAAUAAUUCUCUUUCUCUUAUUUUAGGCCAAUCUGAUGUCAUUGAAUUAUUAUAUUCCCAGUUUAUGCGUUUUAAUUUUUCUUCCCAAUGUUUUAAUUCAUCUUCUAAGUCUGCCUUUUCCAUGCAUUCUUUUACUCCUUUAUUCCUACUAUCACUUCUCUCUGCUUCUGACAAAAGAGGUUCUAUUUCGUCUGCGACGACGGAUUUAUAGUUCAAGAAUCUAAUGUUACUACUUCCUUCGCUGUUUUGGUAGCUUAUAUAAUUUUUUUGCUGCUUCAACUCUUUCUUUUCUAUUAAUUCGCUUAUAUUCAAUUCUUCUCUUGCUCUCUCUUCAAAACCAAUUUUAAGAGGGCUCAUAAAUUUUAUGCCUUUAGAUUGCAUGCUCUCUAUUACGUCAUUUACGUUUACUUUGUAUCUAGAGCUGCUUUUAUUCAUGAGUCUUCCUAUGAAUUCAAUGCUUACUAACAAAUUUGUUCCUUUAAAAUCUUCAUAUCCUUUGGUUUGAAACCCAAAGCUCAUUUUCUCAAUAAAUUCUUUUACAGGCAUCAUUAAGUCUGGAGGUAUAUAUGUUAUUAAUCUAUUUUCAUUCACAUCUCCUUCCAUAAAGCCUAAUGAUGCUUUGUCUACCGACUCCCAUCUUUUAUCAAGUAAUGUAAUUAAUACCUUCGUUCCUAAUUUCUUUCUUGUCAUUCCUUUUACUCCUAUAAUAUACAUCCCUUGGUGAAUAUAUUUGUAACCUGAAUAUUUAAGUUCAUUCUCAAUAUUUUUACUAACAAUUCUUAAAUCAACCGGAUGUGUUAACACAAUUAAUUCUACUUCUCUAGAUAUUUUGUAUAAUCCGCUUUUACUUUCAAAUAUGCCCAUGUGAUAUACCUGUUGCGGUCUUUUUUUCUUAACGUGUCUCUCUGAUAUAUUUCUAAUUUGCAUUCCAUGUCUAUAACCUCUUCUAAAUUAUCUAUGUCGUCACUUCUACAUGAUAUCCUAUUCAUCAUGGUUAGCGGCCUAGAAUCUUGCCUUAUUAAAUGGAUGGUCUUGUCUCUUCUAGAGAGGCUUUUAGAUAGUUCCAUUUUUCAGAAUUAAUAUUUUUAGAGGAUGAGACUAUUCCGGAUGAAGAUAAUAUCAACCCGUUGUUACCUCGUUUAGUAUUUAGCUUUUCCAAAAUCUGGACUAGUAGUUGUAGAAUUGUGUUAUUCUGCCUAAUAAUUAUUCUGGAAUCUUCUUUUGGCGAAUCGUGAUCUGAAAAUCUGACAGAAGGUGUUAAAUAUUUUUCUACUUCUUUUAAUGCAUGGUUAUAUUCAUUCAUUCAAGUUAUGAUACGACUAGAGUCUUUACUUCUUGUAUUAACCUUUUAACUUCAAGUAUAUCACGUCUUAUUUCAGCACCUGAUAAUGAAUCUUUAUUCUUAUUUACGACACCACUCAGAUUCUUACCUAUGGAUAAAACUUCUUCUUUAAUAUAGUCGUUGUUCUUACAAAUUAUAAGGUUUCUACCUUUCGAUUCUUCUAAUUUCUGUAGAACUAGAUCGAUUUUAUUAUUCAAGCCUGCGUAUUUUUCUACUAACUUAUUGUGUUCUUUUAACAGACUUUCAAAUUUUUGGUCUAGAUUAUCUUGCCUUUUUUCCCAAGUUAUAUAAAAGUUAUGAAUGAGGUUGAGAAUUAAAUUUAGUUGGCUAUGAGUAGUAUGCCACGUAUGUUCUUCAGAAGGAUUUAUUCUGCACCGUAUGCUAAUAUUUUCUUUGGUAGAGAUCAGUCUACCUGUACUAAUUUCUAAAUUUAAAUACUUUAGUCUUUCAAUGAUUAAAACUCUUGCUGAGAUACCAACACACAAAAUAUAAUAAAUUAAAUUAUUAAAAACUUUUAAUUUCUUACAAUAUUUAAAGUACGAUAUUAUUAAGUGCUUAGGUAAUUUAAUUUUUUUGAAAUUAUUUAAUUAAUUAAUCUUUAAUUAAUAUGCAGGAUCUUUUACGGGUUGGCGAAACCAACGAGACAUCCUACGGGUAUGCAGCAGUUGUGUUAAUCCUACUCGGUACUCUCCGUAUUCAUCACUAUGUUGCUUCAGAAGCAGCUAAGUUCUUUCACUUGAUGUUUAUAUUACAAAUUUAUUUGAUGAAUUCCUACCGUCUUCCCAGGCAGUUCCACCCGAAGGGAACACUUCUCUACGGCCACAAUGUUCUCAUUUAAACGCCACACAUCGGCUAAACAGAGAACUACCGGCAGAGGUUUCUCCUAUAGGAUCCCUAGCGUAAGAACUCAUUUCAUAAAUUCAUAAUAUUAAAAGCAAGUGAAACCCGAAACUACUUCACUUCGACAACAUAAUUUACAUAUGGAUUUCCCUUUCGGGAGACCCCGAAGGGAUUACAAAGAGAAAAAGAGGACUACCUUCUGCCUACCUCCACCACUGGAUGAUACAAUGCCUCAAAGGCUUAUUACAAACUGGAGAUGGCUACUACUACUACUACUACUACUGAGGAGAGUGAGGGAAGUGGUGCUUUGGUGCUUGCGAUGCUCUGGAGACUGGUGUCGUGUAGAAUGCUAUUGUGUGUCUCCGCGCUCAGUCCUCCUCCUUUUAUAGUGCGCG
This 15153-nucleotide long non-coding RNA is filed under the name Triticum aestivum (bread wheat). RNAcentral's name for it is "long non-coding RNA (TAES_LNC015630)". Lineage: Eukaryota; Viridiplantae; Streptophyta; Magnoliopsida; Poales; Poaceae. The record is from RNAcentral.